CACGUAGGGCGCGAGCGUUGUCCGGAAUUAUUGGGCGUAAAGAGCUCGUAGGCGGCCUGUUGCGUCCGCUGUGAAAGCCCGGGGCUUAACCCCGGGUCGGCAGUGGAUACGGGCAGGCUAGAGGUAGGUAGGGGAGAAUGGAAUUCCCGGUGUAGCGGUGAAAUGCGCAGAUAUCGGGAGGAACACCAAUGGCGAAGGCAGCUUGCUGGGACGGUACUGACGCUGAGACGCGAAAGCGUGGGGAGCAAACAGG
This 253-nucleotide ribosomal RNA is filed under the name uncultured bacterium. RNAcentral describes it as "partial 16S ribosomal RNA". It matches the Rfam family "Bacterial small subunit ribosomal RNA", at positions 524 to 776 of the family's 1533-position model. The record is from RNAcentral.